AACAGUUAAGCUGCAGAUGCCAACCAAGAUGACCAGAGAUCCAACCAAGAUGACCAGAGAUCCAGGAAGAAUACCUUUGAAAGGACAGCUGUAGAAGAAAGUGCAACCCAGCACACAACCGAAUUCCCACACCCCUCUUUGUUGAGUAUGCCUGCGUGUGAUGUCGACCUACAGACUAGAGAGCCACAGCUGAAGACAGAAACCCAGCAGAACACAAAGAAACAUGAAGCGGACCACUGCCCUGAAGCCAAACUUCCCUCUUCAAAAUGAGCCUUUGCC
Long non-coding RNA from Chelmon rostratus (copperband butterflyfish), 279 nucleotides. RefSeq lists it as uncharacterized. Lineage: Eukaryota; Metazoa; Chordata; Actinopteri; Chaetodontiformes; Chaetodontidae. The transcript is spliced from 3 exons. The record is from RefSeq and is a predicted model, not a curated record.